UGCAUUGACAAUUCCUGAUCUGCUAGGGAAGGUGAUGUUCCCUGAUCUGCGGUCCACAGAGCCAUCCUUGGUGAUGUUAAAUUGAUGUACAAAGCUCUUAAGUAUUGCACACCCUGGGGUUUCUGUGUUUGGAGCCAUCGCAGAUGUAGAAAUGUCCCAUGGGAAGACCAGUGUUGCUGUGUGGGCCUCAGGCAAUCUACACCACAGUCCUCAUCUAGGGAACUUUGUCUGGAAUGCUGACUCUGCCAGCUCAGAAUCCUUAGAGUGGUCAUCAGAGUCUGCAUGCUUAUUCAGAUUCCAAAAUCAUUAUGUUUCAACCAAAGUCUAAGGCCCUCAAGGAUGUAUAUGUGACUUCUCUGAGCUUCAAUGAUGGCCAUAAGAAGAGACUCGUGCUUUUCUAGACAGCCUUGACAUUUCUCUAUGUGUGGUCACAUACAAAGAAGAAACAGGAUUGCCCAUCAUUAGAGGAAGCAGCCACUGGAGCCUGAGCAUCAAGUGAUGCUCAGUGGAAAGAGAUGCUGUCAGCCUGGAGGUGCUAAGAUGAUGUAAAAAGAGCCAAGGAAUUCUUAAAGUACACCAGCAAUACUUUAUUCCCCAGGCCAUUCGGGCUAGAUGAGUGUUGAAGUCUGAGUCAUGGCCACUGCCCUUGAGAGCAUCUGAGAAGAAUGUCUUGGUAAUGGGAAGAUUUGAGAUUGAAACAGAUGAACGUAUAGAACAGGAGAAAUAAAGGUUUGGGGAUAUGGG
Molecule: long non-coding RNA, 744 nt
Organism: Mastomys coucha (southern multimammate mouse)
Lineage: Eukaryota; Metazoa; Chordata; Mammalia; Rodentia; Muridae
Exons: 2
Source: RefSeq, a predicted model, not a curated record